This 427-nucleotide ribosomal RNA is filed under the name uncultured bacterium. Its description in RNAcentral is "bacterial SSU rRNA". It matches the Rfam family "Bacterial small subunit ribosomal RNA", at positions 355 to 774 of the family's 1533-position model. The record is from RNAcentral.
UGGGGAAUAUUGCACAAUGGGCGCAAGCCUGAUGCAGCCAUGCCGCGUGUAUGAAGAAGGCCUUCGGGUUGUAAAGUACUUUCAGCGAGGAGGAAGGCAUAAAGCUUAAUACGCUUUGUGAUUGACGUUACUCGCAGAAGAAGCACCGGCUAACUCCGUGCCAGCAGCCGCGGUAAUACGGAGGGUGCAAGCGUUAAUCGGAAUUACUGGGCGUAAAGCGCACGCAGGCGGUUUGUUAAGUCAGAUGUGAAAUCCCCGGGCUCAACCUGGGAACUGCAUUUGAAACUGGCAAGCUUGAGUCUUGUAGAGGGGGGUAGAAUUCCAGGUGUAGCGGUGAAAUGCGUAGAGAUCUGGAGGAAUACCGGUGGCGAAGGCGGCCCCCUGGACAAAGACUGACGCUCAGGUGCGAAAGCGUGGGGAGCAAACA